GCGCGCGAGCAGGGGGCGUCUCCCUUGCGAGCAUCUGAUUGCUUCGACAGAUUCAGAGAGAUGCCAAAGCCGAUGUACUCGCGACUACAGGUAUAGUGCCUUUAACGGAGUGCCGAACAAACGGGCAACAGCGGCGACACAGUUCAAGCGUAAUAAACAAAGGGAAAAACAGGAAACCGUGCAGUAAGACGGACGUCAACGGACACAAAGACAACUCCGGCGGGCACCUUGAGCAAUCAAAUGCUGUUCCACGAGGCAUUGAGCCGCUGCCUCACGCAUACAGACCCUGGAUUCCAGUCCACCCUGUAUCAAGCUGGCAUUUUCCCCUCUGUUUGAAUGGGUUUCCUCCCACAUCCCGAUGAGGAUAGGUCGAUUGACCAGUCAAAGACUUCAUGACUUAGAGUUGCAAUGGCAUGGGUGAACCUGUUUUUGGAUUAAGCUGUUCUGGGAGAGGUAUGCUGCAUUAGGUAAAAACGGUUCUCAUAUUCAUGCCAGAAGGUUUUAUGUGUGUUUUGUUUUUAAUUAUAUUUUUGUUGACCUUUUGUAACUAAAUAUUUCACUAUAAUUUGCACUGUGUGUAGUAUGUGACAAAAUUUGUUUUGGAUUUAGAAUCUUAGCUUGGACAUAAUCCAAAUGAGAAUUGUCAAAAACAUUUUCACACCAAUUCUUUUUUGUCUGGCCUCUCUCUAGUGCCGUCUGGGCAGUUUUUUUUUUCUUGGAAGCUUACCUGACUUGACUCCACAUUACCCGAAUGCUCAUUUUUGGAGGAUGUCCAUUAUCAUAUAGAUUUUCUUUUUAGUAAUUAUUCUCAUGUUCUUAAAAUAAUUCUUGGUUUAAUGGAAUAAAUUCUUGGUGCUUUUCAA
This is a long non-coding RNA of Polypterus senegalus (gray bichir), 863 nucleotides long. RefSeq lists it as uncharacterized. NCBI's taxonomy places the organism in Eukaryota, Metazoa, Chordata, Cladistia, Polypteriformes, Polypteridae. The record is from RefSeq and is a predicted model, not a curated record. The transcript is spliced from 2 exons.